RNAcentral lists this long non-coding RNA (799 nucleotides) under Pan troglodytes (chimpanzee). RNAcentral's name for it is "long non-coding RNA NONPTRT004056". Lineage: Eukaryota; Metazoa; Chordata; Mammalia; Primates; Hominidae. The record is from RNAcentral.
CAGGAGGAAGCAGCCGCAGCCUGAGCGCAGCAUCUGCCAGGGAAACUGUGCGCCCCAGGUCAGCUAGUUAACUAUUUCAUCCCUCCCCACCACUCUUCCCUAGGCCAAGUAUUUGCAGCACGGGCAGGGACCAGUAACUGAUUUUCAGGCCUUUUGAGAGGAAGAGGAAGAGAGAGGAAGAGAAGGAUUUCUAAUAGUAGAUAUUCACUGUCAUGGACUCUUUAGGAAACAGCAACAAAGACAAGAUUAACCCGAGACAAAGAGAUCUUUACAAAGUAUCACAUACCCUAUUGCUCCUCUACAAAACCUUUCAGAACAGGGGAACAGGAUGGCUUCUGCCUUCACCUACCAUUCUCCCCACAGGAACACCAAAUUGUGUGACUAUCCACACAAAAAAGCAUCUUCAUAAGAACCAAAAAUCAGGUAAGCCAUCACAGUACGCUAUUUUAGUUUUAUAUCACUGAAAGGGACACCUAAGAAGGUAGAAAAGACAGUCUUGAAUUGCUGAUGCAACUCCUCCCCCAUCACCCCAACACUCCAGCAGCAGUGGACGCAUGGCGUGGAGUGAGAAUCUGUGUGCUUCGGUAAGGGACAGCAAAGGGAUUGUGGGACUUGGCAUUGUCCUGCCCUGCCAUAGUGGAAAGCAACACCAGGCAGAACUCAGUCAGCACCCACGGAGGGAGCAUUUAGACCAGGCCUAGCCAGAGGAGAAUUGCCCAUCCUAGUGUUCAAAAGUUUAGUUCUUGCAAGUCUCACCAACAUGGGCUAAACAGCUCUUGGGUACUAAAGAAACUCAAAA